Molecule: microRNA, 21 nt
Filed under: Oryza sativa (Asian cultivated rice)
Lineage: Eukaryota; Viridiplantae; Streptophyta; Magnoliopsida; Poales; Poaceae
Description: osa-miR1426
Source: miRBase by way of RNAcentral
AGAAUCUUGAUGAUGAUUAAA